RNAcentral lists this long non-coding RNA (377 nucleotides) under Monodelphis domestica (gray short-tailed opossum). Its description in RNAcentral is "lncRNA (ENSMODG00000031206.2)". Lineage: Eukaryota; Metazoa; Chordata; Mammalia; Didelphimorphia; Didelphidae. The record is from RNAcentral.
GAGCUCCCUGGAGGAUGUCCCUGCUCUGAAAAUGACACAAUUAGCCCAUAAUCGGAGUUAGCAGCCAGCCUCCUGGCCCCAUCUGCCUUUGCUCACGGCUCCUUGGGUUUUAUUGACUUCAAAGGGAUCUCCCUGUGAAGAUAUGCUGAGCUGGAACAUGGAGGAGAAUGAGAAUCCUGCAGAGCUCUGGGUUGGAAGGGAAGGGGAUUGGAUGCCAAUCUUGGCUUGUGACCUCCCUGGCUCUUUAGGUAAGUGGCCGCUACUUCCUUUCACUCUAGGUAUUUGAUGCUCUGGUCUGGACACUUGGGAGGUGCUGGUAAAUGUCUGUUCCAUUGAAUUGAAUCUGCCCUGCACACAUGCAGAGCUCUCUUCUCCAA